AGAGAAGCAGGGAGACAUGAGCAGAGUGAGAGAGAAGCAACAAGUGACUGCUGAUCUUUUCCUUGAAGAAAUCAAUCUAUUUGAAUUAUUUUGAAGUUAUGGUGGACUCUGGAGCUGGACUGGUAAACAGAGAAAGGACAGAAGAGAUGAAGAAAGCAAACAGGAGAGUGACAGAGCCCAGUCUGAAGCACUUCAGGAUAGCUUCUCAGAGAUGGAGAGAACUAAAGGAGUUAAAAUGACUGAAAACAGAUGCUGGGUGGAUCCUCUUCCUUGAAACAGAUAAUGUGGCAUCGUGUCCUCCUCCAUGUCAGAGACCAGCACCGCUGCUCUUUUGGAAGCUGUGACCACGGGCCACUUGAUGAGAGCAGCAGAGAUAAGCCAUGGAUGGUGUGAGGCUCUCCAUCACAUCAGGCUUGUGCAUCCAUCAUCCCUGAUAAACGCUGACUGAAGGAUGUGGAGAAGUUUACCUCCUUUCAGAACCACAUCCUCUUGUAUGCUGCAAAAUGGUUUUUCAUUCAGCUCACCAGUGUAUGAGGCGCACACUCCUCUGGCACCACACCCACAGGCCUGCAGCCCUGACUCUGAUGGUAACAAUGUGAGUGGUGGCAUUAAUGCUAAAAGUUUCUUAUUAGACAUGUCUCUAGUUAGUUAGUUUAACAAUAAAGGAAGUCAUAAAAAGGAAGAAAAGAAAGCACUUAGACUCAUUAAGUGAUUGUUUUCAUUAAGUAGUGAAGUGAAGAAGAAUCUUUGUCCUCUAAUGUCUCUGUUCAAACUUAUAAAAGUGUCUCCUUGUUUAGUUUUGGUAACAUGUAUGAGAAUAAAGUUUACACUUU
Molecule: long non-coding RNA, 833 nt
Organism: Notolabrus celidotus (New Zealand spotty)
Lineage: Eukaryota; Metazoa; Chordata; Actinopteri; Labriformes; Labridae
Exons: 3
Source: RefSeq, a predicted model, not a curated record